AGAGUUUGAUCCUGGCUCAGGAUUAACGCUGGCGGCAUGCCUAAUACAUGCAAGUCGAACGAGAGUAGCAAUACUCUAGUGGCGAACGGGUGAGUAACACGUAGGAAACCUGCCUCAAAGUCGAGGAUAACUACUGGAAACGGUAGCUAAAACUGGAUAGGAUAUAUUAAGGCAUCUUGAUAUAUUUAAAAGUCCUUCUGGGAAUGCUUUGAGAUGGUCCUGCGGCGCAUUAGCUAGUUGGUGAGGUAGUAGCUUACCAAGGCGACGAUGCGUAGCUGAGCUGAGAGGCCAAACAGCCACACUGGGACUGAGACACGGCCCAGACUCCUACGGGAGGCAGCAGUAGGGAAUUUUCGGCAAUGGGGGAAACCCUGACCGAGCAAUGCCGCGUGAAUGAUGAAAUUCUUCGGAAUGUAAAAUUCUGUUGUGAGGGAAGAAAGGUAGUAUCAGGAAAUGGGUAUUACUUGACGGUACCUUACUAGAAAGCCCCGGCUAACUAUGUGCCAGCAGCCGCGGUAAUACAUAGGGGGCGAGCGUUAUCCGGAAUUAUUGGGCGUAAAGCGUGCGUAGGCGGCCGUUUAAGGGUCUGUCGUGAAAGCCCACAGCUUAACUGUGGAGGGUCGAUGGAAACUGGAUGGCUUGAAUCUAGAAGAGGUAAGUGGAAUUCCAUGUGUAGCGGUAAAAUGCUUAGAUAUAUGGAGGAACACCAGUGGCGAAGGCGGCUUACUGGUCUAGCAUUGACGCUGAGGCACGAAAGCGUAGGUAGCAAACAGGAUUAGAUACCCUGGUAGUCUACGCUGUAAACGAUGAGCACUAAGUGUCGGACGUAAGUUCGGUGCUGUAGUUAACGCAUUAAGUGCUCCGCCUGGGGAGUACGGUCGCAAGACUGAAACUCAAAG
Molecule: ribosomal RNA, 899 nt
Filed under: human gut metagenome
Description: bacterial SSU rRNA
Rfam family: Bacterial small subunit ribosomal RNA
Source: RNAcentral